GAUGAACGCUGGCGGCGUGCCUAAUACAUGCAAGUCGAGCGAACGGACGAGAAGCUUGCUUCUCUGAUGUUAGCGGCGGACGGGUGAGUAACACGUGGAUAACCUACCUAUAAGACUGGGAUAACUUCGGGAACCCGGAGCUAAUACCGGAUAAUAUUUUGAACCGCAUGGUUCAAAAGUGAAAGACGGUCUUGCUGUCACUUAUAGAUGGAUCCGCGCUGCAUUAGCUAGUUGGUAAGGUAACGGCUUACCAAGGCAACGAUGCAUAGCCGACCUGAGAGGGUGAUAGGCCACACUGGAACUGAGACACGGUCCAGACUCCUACGGGAGGCAGCAGUAGGGAAUCUUCCGCAAUGGGCGAAAGCCUGACGGAGCAACGCCGCGUGAGUGAUGAAGGUCUUCGGAUCGUAAAACUCUGUUAUUAGGGAAGAACAUAUGUGUAAGUAACUGUGCACAUCUUGACGGUACCUAAUCAGAAAGCCACGGCUAACUACGUG
Molecule: ribosomal RNA, 497 nt
Filed under: uncultured bacterium
Lineage: Bacteria
Description: partial 16S ribosomal RNA
Rfam family: Bacterial small subunit ribosomal RNA
Source: RNAcentral